AGUUUGAUCCUGGCUCAGGAUGAACGCUGGCGGCGUGCUUAACACAUGCAAGUCGAGCGAAGCACUUAUGCGGAAGUUUUCGGAUGGAAGCGUAAUGACUGAGCGGCGGACGGGUGAGUAACGCGUGGGGAACCUGCCUCAUACAGGGGAAUAACAGUUAGAAAUGACUGCUAAUGCCGCAUAAGCGCACACUGUGGCAUCACAGGGUGUGAAAAACUCCGGUGGUAUGAGAUGGCCCCGCGUCUGAUUAGGCAGUUGGCGGGGUAACGGCCCACCAAACCGACGAUCAGUAGCCGACCUGAGAGGGUGACCGGCCACAUUGGGACUGAGACACGGCCCAAACUCCUACGGGAGGCAGCAGUGGGGAAUAUUGCACAAUGGGGGAAACCCUGAUGCAGCGACGCCGCGUGGGUGACGAAGUAUUUCGGUAUGUAAAGCCCUAUCAGCAGGGAAGAGGAUGACAGUACCUGACCAAGAAGCCCCGGCUAACUACGUG
RNAcentral lists this ribosomal RNA (496 nucleotides) under uncultured Lachnospiraceae bacterium. Its description in RNAcentral is "bacterial SSU rRNA". It matches the Rfam family "Bacterial small subunit ribosomal RNA", at positions 10 to 507 of the family's 1533-position model. Lineage: Bacteria; Bacillati; Bacillota; Clostridia; Lachnospirales; Lachnospiraceae. The record is from RNAcentral.